Lingula anatina is the source of this 405-nucleotide long non-coding RNA. RefSeq lists it as uncharacterized. NCBI's taxonomy places the organism in Eukaryota, Metazoa, Brachiopoda, Lingulata, Lingulida, Lingulidae. The record is from RefSeq and is a predicted model, not a curated record.
GUCGUGGGAUUACAGCCAAGAGGUUGUAAGGGCUCUCUUUGAAUCCAGCCCGGAAGGAUGGUUCAUUGCUGAGAUGCAAGGGAAAGUUGUAGGUGUGAUGAUGGUGUUUAACAUAAACGAGGAGGAGGCCCAUGGAGGAAUGUGGAUCGUCAGUAAGCUGUGGCGUGGACACCGUAUUGGACCAGGCACAGGUGCCGUGCAGUCGUGAGACCUGUGGCGGAGGGAGCUACUGACUAUGAGCGGUGCAGAAAUUAACUAUAGAUUUGUGAAUGUUUAACGAAGCACAGUGUGCCUCGGAUCCUGGUACGGCAGAAGACAAAUCAAGAUGGAGUUUUCUUAAAAAAAACAAACUCAAGAACUGAUCAUUAUCAUUAUUAUUUUAUUACCCUUUUAAAAAGAUUUUCG